AAGCACAUUUUCUUAUAUGAUUUAAAUAUUCUUAGAAUAUGAUCAUUUAUUUAUUUACUUUAUUUUUAUUUUUUUUUCGCUAGUAUGAUUUAAUACCUUACUUGGUAAAUAUACAAAAUACACCAAAAGCGGCAGGUAAAUAUAUACAUAUAUAUAUUUUAUGCAUAUGAUUACGCGUUAUGUGUAGGUGUCUCUAUACCAUUUCUACGAAUACACAGUUGUAACAUCAUUUUUUUAUUUUAACUUUUUUAAUAAUGCAGAAUUUUAUUUAAAGUCCGAUUUUAAGUUUAAUAUGUAUAAAACGUUAAUUAAUGAGUAUGAAGAAGGAGAUGGUAUUUCCGAGUUUACUAACAUGGAUAGAGAACUGUGUGGAGCAGAUGUUUAUAAUGAAAAUGUAGAACACGUAGUGUGUUAUAUACAACCGAAGAUUAAUGGAUUUUGUCAAAGAAUUAACAAUAUACAAAAUUUUUUUAUGGCCAAUUUGUUGUUCUGUGUAAUGAAGCUAGAACAACUGAAGAACGUUGUACCAACGUAUUUUUAUUUUCUUCCCAGUGAUAAACACUUAUCAUACAAGGAUUGUAUAAUAAGUAGCAAAUUUGAACAUGAUGAUAAUAUACGUUUAAAAAAAUCCGUGCUGGGUACGAAUGUUAAGAUAAAAAAAAAUUCUUUUGUCAGUAGAAGCGUAUUUAUGGAUAACAUUACCAUUAAUGAAAAUUGUCAUAUUUAUAAUUCGAUUAUUUGCGACAAUGUUGUUAUUGAAGAUAAUUGCAAGGUAAGAGAAAAAAAAAAAAAAAAAAAAAAAAAAAAAAAAAGCAGACAAAUAAAUUAAAAAAAUAAAAAUAAAAACAAUACGAGUUUUUUUUUUUUU
RNAcentral lists this long non-coding RNA (868 nucleotides) under Piliocolobus tephrosceles (Ugandan red Colobus). Its description in RNAcentral is "lncRNA (ENSPTEG00000002625.1)". Lineage: Eukaryota; Metazoa; Chordata; Mammalia; Primates; Cercopithecidae. The record is from RNAcentral.